RNAcentral lists this ribosomal RNA (657 nucleotides) under Escherichia coli. RNAcentral describes it as "partial 23S ribosomal RNA". It matches the Rfam family "Bacterial large subunit ribosomal RNA", at positions 591 to 1248 of the family's 2925-position model. Lineage: Bacteria; Pseudomonadati; Pseudomonadota; Gammaproteobacteria; Enterobacterales; Enterobacteriaceae. The record is from RNAcentral.
GUGUGACUGCGUACCUUUUGUAUAAUGGGUCAGCGACUUAUAUUCUGUAGCAAGGUUAACCGAAUAGGGGAGCCGAAGGGAAACCGAGUCUUAACUGGGCGUUAAGUUGCAGGGUAUAGACCCGAAACCCGGUGAUCUAGCCAUGGGCAGGUUGAAGGUUGGGUAACACUAACUGGAGGACCGAACCGACUAAUGUUGAAAAAUUAGCGGAUGACUUGUGGCUGGGGGUGAAAGGCCAAUCAAACCGGGAGAUAGCUGGUUCUCCCCGAAAGCUAUUUAGGUAGCGCCUCGUGAAUUCAUCUCCGGGGGUAGAGCACUGUUUCGGCAAGGGGGUCAUCCCGACUUACCAACCCGAUGCAAACUGCGAAUACCGGAGAAUGUUAUCACGGGAGACACACGGCGGGUGCUAACGUCCGUCGUGAAGAGGGAAACAACCCAGACCGCCAGCUAAGGUCCCAAAGUCAUGGUUAAGUGGGAAACGAUGUGGGAAGGCCCAGACAGCCAGGAUGUUGGCUUAGAAGCAGCCAUCAUUUAAAGAAAGCGUAAUAGCUCACUGGUCGAGUCGGCCUGCGCGGAAGAUGUAACGGGGCUAAACCAUGCACCGAAGCUGCGGCAGCGACGCUGAUGCGUUGUUGGGUAGGGGAGCGUUCUGUAAGC